RNAcentral lists this non-coding RNA (204 nucleotides) under Rugositalea oryzae. RNAcentral also lists the same sequence under 1 other name. Lineage: Bacteria; Pseudomonadati; Pseudomonadota; Alphaproteobacteria; Hyphomicrobiales; Nitrobacteraceae. The record is from RNAcentral.
GCGAGGUUUGCUCCCGGUGGUUCCCGCAAGGGAUCAAAAGGGAACGCGGUGCGUGUGCGCUUUGCACACAAUGCCGCGGCUGCCCCCGCAACUGUAAGCGGCGAGUUUCCGCCCGAUCAUGCCACUGGGAAUGUGAAUUCCUGGGAAGGCGGGCGAAAACAGCGACCCGUGAGCCAGGAGAUCUGCCACCAGCAAUGGUCACGC